CCUACGGGGGGCAGCAGUCGAGAAUCAUUCACAAUGGGGGAAACCCUGAUGGGGCGACGCCGCGUGGGGGAAUGAAGGUCUGCGGAUUGUAAACCCCUGUCAUGUGGGAGCAAAUUAAAAAGAUAGUACCACAAGAGGAAGAGACGGCUAACGCUGUGCCAGCAGCCGCGGUAAUACAGAGGUCUCAAGCGUUGUUCGGAAUCACUGGGCGUAAAGCGUGCGUAGGCUGUUUCGUAAGGCGUGUGUGAAAGGCGCGGGCUCAACCCGCGGACGGCACAUGAUACUGCGAGACUAGAGUAAUGGAGGGGGAACCGGAAUUCUCGGUGUAGCCGUGAAAUGCGUAGAUAUCGAGAGGAACACUCGUGGCGAAGGCGGGUUCCUGGACAUUAACUGACGCUGAGGCACGAAGGCCAGGGGAGCGAAAAGGAUUAGAUACCCCAGUAGUC
This 446-nucleotide ribosomal RNA is filed under the name uncultured bacterium. Its description in RNAcentral is "partial 16S ribosomal RNA". It matches the Rfam family "Bacterial small subunit ribosomal RNA", at positions 338 to 795 of the family's 1533-position model. The record is from RNAcentral.